GACGAACGCUGGCGGCGUGCCUAAUACAUGCAAGUCGUGCGGACCUUGUUGAAAGCUUGCUUUUAAAAGGUUAGCGGCGGACGGGUGAGUAACACGUGGGCAACCUUCCUGUAAGACUGGGAUAACGCCGGGAAACCGGGGCUAAUACCAGAUCGUUUUUUCCUCCGCAUGGAGUAAAAAGGAAAGGCGGCUUCGGCUUCCACUUACAGAUGGGCCCGCGGCGCAUUAGCUAGUUGGCGGGGUAAUGGCCCACCAAGGCAACGAUGCGUAGCCGACCUGAGAGGGUGAUCGGCCACAUUGGGACUGAGACACGGCCCAAACGCCUACGGGAGGCAGCAGUAGGGAAUCUUGCGCAAUGGACGAGAGUCUGACGGAGCAACGCGGCGUGAGUGAAGAGGGCCUUCGGGUCGUAAAACUCUGUUGCCGGGGAAGAACAAGUGCCGUGCGAACAGGGCGGGGCCUUGACGGUACCCGGCCAGAAAGCCACGGCUAACUACGUG
This 500-nucleotide ribosomal RNA is filed under the name uncultured bacterium. RNAcentral describes it as "partial 16S ribosomal RNA". It matches the Rfam family "Bacterial small subunit ribosomal RNA", at positions 28 to 507 of the family's 1533-position model. The record is from RNAcentral.